Molecule: small RNA, 267 nt
Filed under: Caenorhabditis elegans
Lineage: Eukaryota; Metazoa; Nematoda; Chromadorea; Rhabditida; Rhabditidae
Description: Unclassified non-coding RNA B0303.18
Source: RNAcentral
UUUCCUGAUCAUCAUCAUCUUGUUCCAACAAUCCAUUAUCAACAAGUAAAUUGCAUACCCAUUGGCUAAUCGUCAGAAGUGUGGCUGGCCGAAGUAGAUCUCGAAUUCGAUCAGGACGGAAAAAUGCCAAUCCAAUUCCAGAAAGAAUUGGAACCAUUGUUGAUAAAAGUAAAUAGAUCUGUCCAACAUUUCUGUCCUGCGCAGCUCUUCUUCUUGCUGUUGUAACAUUCUCAUCAACUACUGGAACACUUUCCGACGGCAUUGGAG